RNAcentral lists this ribosomal RNA (405 nucleotides) under Mycolicibacterium vaccae. RNAcentral's name for it is "bacterial SSU rRNA". It matches the Rfam family "Bacterial small subunit ribosomal RNA", at positions 507 to 909 of the family's 1533-position model. The record is from RNAcentral. Lineage: Bacteria; Bacillati; Actinomycetota; Actinomycetes; Mycobacteriales; Mycobacteriaceae.
GCCAGCAGCCGCGGUAAUACGUAGGGUGCGAGCGUUGUCCGGAAUUACUGGGCGUAAAGAGCUCGUAGGUGGUUUGUCGCGUUGUUCGUGAAAACUCACAGCUUAACUGUGGGCGUGCGGGCGAUACGGGCAGACUGGAGUACUGCAGGGGAGACUGGAAUUCCUGGUGUAGCGGUGGAAUGCGCAGAUAUCAGGAGGAACACCGGUGGCGAAGGCGGGUCUCUGGGCAGUAACUGACGCUGAGGAGCGAAAGCGUGGGGAGCGAACAGGAUUAGAUACCCUGGUAGUCCACGCCGUAAACGGUGGGUACUAGGUGUGGGUUUCCUUCCUUGGGAUCCGUGCCGUAGCUAACGCAUUAAGUACCCCGCCUGGGGAGUACGGCCGCAAGGCUAAAACUCAAAGAAA